AGCCAACAGUGAGAUUUGAACUCACGACCUCUGAUUUACGAGACCAAUGCUCUGACCCUGGGCUAUGUUGGC
This is a non-coding RNA of Araneus ventricosus, 72 nucleotides long. NCBI's taxonomy places the organism in Eukaryota, Metazoa, Arthropoda, Arachnida, Araneae, Araneidae. The record is from the annotation of a GenBank genome assembly.